Molecule: ribosomal RNA, 497 nt
Filed under: uncultured bacterium
Lineage: Bacteria
Description: partial 16S ribosomal RNA
Rfam family: Bacterial small subunit ribosomal RNA
Source: RNAcentral
GGUGAACGCUGGCGGCGUGCCUAAUACAUGCAAGUCGAGCGAACAGACGAGGAGCUUGCUCCUCUGACGUUAGCGGCGGACGGGUGAGUAACACGUGGAUAACCUACCUAUAAGACUGGGAUAACUUCGGGAAACCGGAGCUAAUACCGGAUAAUAUAUUGAACCGCAUGGUUCAAUAGUGAAAUACGGUUUUGCUGUCACUUAUAGAUGGAUCCGCGCCGCAUUAGCUAGUUGGUAAGGUAACGGCUUACCAAGGGGACGAUGCGUAGCCGACAUGAGAGGGUGAUAGGCGACACUGGAACUGAGCCACGGUCCAUAGUCCUACGGGAGGCAGCAGUAGGGAAUCUUCCGCAAUGGGCGAAAGCCUGACGGAGCAACGCCGCGUGAGUGAUGAAGGUCUUCGGAUCGUAAAACUCUGUUAUUAGGGAAGAACAAAUGUGUAAGUAACUAUGCACGUCUUGACGGUACCUAAUCAGAAAGCCACGGCUAACUACGUG